GCGAAAGUGGCGGAAUCGGUAGACGCAAUGGCCUCAAAAGCCAUUGAUUUUUGGAUCGUGUGGGUUCGAGUCCCACCUCUCGUA
RNAcentral lists this transfer RNA (84 nucleotides) under Mychonastes homosphaera. RNAcentral's name for it is "tRNA-Leu". It matches the Rfam family "tRNA". From Rfam's summary of the family: Transfer RNA (tRNA) molecules are approximately 80 nucleotides in length. Their secondary structure includes four short double-helical elements and three loops (D, anti-codon, and T loops). Lineage: Eukaryota; Viridiplantae; Chlorophyta; Chlorophyceae; Sphaeropleales; Mychonastaceae. The record is from RNAcentral.